RNAcentral lists this ribosomal RNA (253 nucleotides) under uncultured prokaryote. Its description in RNAcentral is "partial 16S ribosomal RNA". It matches the Rfam family "Bacterial small subunit ribosomal RNA", at positions 524 to 776 of the family's 1533-position model. The record is from RNAcentral.
UACGGGGGGGGCAAGCGUUGUUCGGAAUUACUGGGCGUAAAGGGUUUGUAGGUGGCUGGCUAAGUCAGACGUGAAAUCCCUCGGCUCAACCGGGGAACUGCGUCUGAGACUGGUCGGCUCGAGUGCAGGAGAGGAACGCGGAAUUCCUGGUGUAGCGGUGAAAUGCGUAGAUAUCAGGAGGAACACCGGUGGUGUAGACGGCUUUCUGGACCAUAUCUGACGCUGAGGCACGAAAGCUAGGGUAGCGAACGGG